CGUGGAGCGAUUUGUCUGGUUUAUUCCGAUAACGAGCGAGACUCUAGCCUACUAAAUAGUCGGCGCGUUGCCUCUGUGUGCACGGCUUCUUAGAGGGAUUUUCGGUGUUCAGCCGCACGAAAUUGAGCAAUAACAGGUCUGUGAUGCCCUUAGAUGUCCGGGGCUGCACGCGCGCUACACUGGCAAAAUCAGCGUGCUUGUCCUUCCCCGAAAGGGGUUGGUAAACCCUUGAAAAUUUGCCGUGAUUGGGAUCGGAAAUUGCAAUUAUUUUCCGUGAACGAGGAAUUCCAAGUAAGUGCGAGUCAUCAACUCGCUUUGAAUACGUCCCUGCCCUUUGUAC
RNAcentral lists this ribosomal RNA (340 nucleotides) under Nematoda environmental sample. Its description in RNAcentral is "SSU rRNA". It matches the Rfam family "Eukaryotic small subunit ribosomal RNA", at positions 1300 to 1665 of the family's 1831-position model. Lineage: Eukaryota; Metazoa; Nematoda. The record is from RNAcentral.